Molecule: ribosomal RNA, 247 nt
Filed under: uncultured bacterium
Lineage: Bacteria
Description: partial 16S ribosomal RNA
Rfam family: Bacterial small subunit ribosomal RNA
Source: RNAcentral
UACGGAGGAUCCAAGCGUUAUCCGGAAUCAUUGGGUUUAAAGGGUCCGUAGGCGGUUUAAUAAGUCAGUGGUGAAAGCCCAUCGCUCAACGGUGGAACGGCCAUUGAUACUGUUAAACUUGAAUUAUUAGGAAGUAACUAGAAUAUGUAGUGUAGCGGUGAAAUGCUUAGAGAUUACAUGGAAUACCAAUUGCGAAGGCAGGUUACUACUAAUGGAUUGACGCUGAUGGACGAAAGCGUGGGUAGCG